GCCGAUGGACGGGUGCUUCGAGAUGCCAUUAGUAGAAGACAUGGACUAAAAGUUCCUCAUGGUUGUUAUUAUCUAGUUGAUGUUGGAUACACAAAUUGCGAGGGAUUUCUUGCACCAUUUAGAGGACAGCGAUAUCAUCUGAACGAGUGGCGUCAGGGUUAUCAGCCAAGUUCUCCGCAAGAGUUUUUUAAUAUGAAACAUGCCUCAUCACGUAAUUUCAUUGAAAGAUGCUUUGGCUUAUUAAAACUUAGAUGGGGAAUACUUAGGAGUCCAUCGUUUUAUCCUGUAAGGGUGCACAAUAGAAUUAUUAUUGCAUGUUGUUUGCUCCAUAAUUUUAUUCGAACCCAUAUGAGUAUUGAUCCCAUUGAAGCGGAGGUGGGAGACGGAUUACCUACUAAUGUGGUGGAUGCCGAUGAACCGAAUAUCACAAAUAUUCAUCCAUCGGAUGCUUGGGCUAGUUGGAGGAUGGACCUAGCCAACCAAAUGUUCGAUGAAUGGCAAGCAUCUAGAAAUUAGUUAGGUUUAGGGACAAAUUGAGUUUGAAUUGAUUUGUUGAUGUUAUUUUAUGUAUCUAGUUUAUUAAACUUUGGUGGUCUUUGAUUAAAAUUCUGUAUUGUACUAAACUUUGUUGAAUUAUAAUUUAAUUAUCUUUUCAUUCAAA
Molecule: long non-coding RNA, 661 nt
Organism: Gossypium raimondii (Peruvian cotton)
Lineage: Eukaryota; Viridiplantae; Streptophyta; Magnoliopsida; Malvales; Malvaceae
Exons: 2
Source: RefSeq, a predicted model, not a curated record